RNAcentral lists this ribosomal RNA (229 nucleotides) under uncultured bacterium. RNAcentral describes it as "partial 16S ribosomal RNA". It matches the Rfam family "Bacterial small subunit ribosomal RNA", at positions 568 to 796 of the family's 1533-position model. The record is from RNAcentral.
UGCGUAGGCGGAUAAAUAAGUCAGUGGUGAAAUCUUCCGGCUCAACCGGGAAACUGCCAUUGAUACUGUUUAUCUUGAGUUCGGUAGAGGUAGGCGGAAUGUGUAAUGUAGCGGUGAAAUGCUUAGAUAUUACACAGAACACCAAUUGCGUAGGCAGCUUACUAGACCGACACUGACGCUGAGGCACGAAAGCGUGGGUAGCGAACAGGAUUAGAUACCCGAGUAGUCC